This 405-nucleotide ribosomal RNA is filed under the name Stenotrophomonas maltophilia. RNAcentral describes it as "bacterial SSU rRNA". It matches the Rfam family "Bacterial small subunit ribosomal RNA", at positions 75 to 476 of the family's 1533-position model. The record is from RNAcentral. Lineage: Bacteria; Pseudomonadati; Pseudomonadota; Gammaproteobacteria; Lysobacterales; Lysobacteraceae.
CUUGCUCUCUGGGUGGCGAGUGGCGGACGGGUGAGGAAUACAUCGGAAUCUACUUUUUCGUGGGGGAUAACGUAGGGAAACUUACGCUAAUACCGCAUACGACCUACGGGUGAAAGCAGGGGAUCUUCCAGACCUUGCGCGAUUGAAUGAGCCGAUGUCGGAUUAGCUAGUUGGCGGGGUAAAGGCCCACCAAGGCGACGAUCCGUAGCUGGUCUGAGAGGAUGAUCAGCCACACUGGAACUGAGACACGGUCCAGACUCCUACGGGAGGCAGCAGUGGGGAAUAUUGGACAAUGGGCGCAAGCCUGAUCCAGCCAUACCGCGUGGGUGAAGAAGGCCUUCGGGUUGUAAAGCCCUUUUGUUGGGAAAGAAAUCCAGCUGGUUAAUACCCGGUUGGGAUGACGGU